This is a non-coding RNA of Chiloscyllium plagiosum (whitespotted bambooshark), 2050 nucleotides long. The record is from RefSeq and is a predicted model, not a curated record. Lineage: Eukaryota; Metazoa; Chordata; Chondrichthyes; Orectolobiformes; Hemiscylliidae.
CCCAGAUUGCAACAUCCUUCCUCUGUCCAACAUCGGAUAUGAGAAGGGAAGGAGUUGCAGACAGAAACCGCAAAACACGAUCUGAUGGAGACAAUCGAUUCAUUGGCAUAGGAAUAUCAUCAGCCUUUGAAUCUCACACUGUUUUAUUUCUGUUCUGUUCUGUCUGCUUUGCAAGGUUUCAAACAUCAGAGAGACUGAGGCAUACAGACCUGAGUGAGAGUGUCCCAAUGAACUGACUGGGAAGAGCUUUAACAGGUUACGCAGCCUGAAAUGGCAAUACCCCAUGUGCAGCAGCAAGGGACAUUCCAUGUGUGAGUGGUCUUCCAACUGAUUGCCGAAGCUGGAGAGAGACAAGGAUUCCCACGUCAUGGAGAAACCGUGGAAAUGUGGGGACUGUGGGAAGGAAUUCAAAUUCCCGUGUCUGCUCGAAUCCCAUCGCCGUGGUCACACCGGGGAGAGGCCGUUCACCUGCUCUGUGUGCGGGAAGGCGUUCAUUCAGCUGUCCACCCUGGUGACCCACCAGCGGGUUCACACCGGGGAGAAGCCGUUCACCUGCUCAGAGUGUGGGAAGGGCUUCACCCGGCUGUCUACUUUGCAGGCCCAUCAGCACAUUCACACCGGAGAGAGGCCUUUCACCUGCUCCGUCUGCGGGAAGGGGUUCAUUGAUUCGUGUGGCCUGCAGAGACACAAGCGGGUUCACACUGGGGAGAGGCCAUUCAUAUGCUCGGUUUGUGGGAAGGGCUUCACCCAUUCGACCGCCCUGCUGACCCACCAGCACAUUCACACCGGGGAGAGGCCGUUCUCGUGCUCCAUCUGUGGGAAGGGCUUCACGGAUUCCUCCGCCCUGCAGAUACACCAGUGGGUUCACACUGGGCAGCGGCCGUUUACCUGCUCCGUGUGUGGGAAGGCCUUCAGUCGAUCAUCCCAUCUGCUGAGACACCUCUCCAGUCACACCGAGUAGAGAAUUUUUAAAUCCUUUGUCUGUGUGGGUGUGACUUCAAGAGAGUACCCAUUCACUGAAAGAAAUCUGAAAGCAAAUAAUACAUGAACUUCUAACAGAGCCACUUGAUUCAUUGGGACUUCAAUAUCAGCAGCCAUUCCAAUUGAGCAGAAAUGUUUGUUUUUGUCUGCUUGACAGAUUGUGGCAGGAAGAACAUUGAGGCACAGAUACCCAAGUGAGGUAGAUUCAGGGCACUGACUGUGAAAGGCACUUUAAUGAUUUAUUCAGCUUGGGGCAUCAAAAUCACACCACCAGAGACUGUUGACCUGCUCUGUGUGCGGGAAGGAUUCGUUAAUUCUUCCAUCCUACUGAUGCGCUAGCAGGUCCUCAUCGGGGAGAGGCCAUUCACCUGCCCGGAGUGCAGGAAUGCAUUUAGUCAAAUGUGCAACCUGUGGACACACCAGCGGAUCCACACUGGGGAGAGGCCGUUCACCUGCUGUUCGUGCUUCACCAGCUCCUCCCACCUGCAGAGGCACCAGUGAGUUCAUGUGCCAUUGCAGGGGGAUUGAAGGAGUGACGGCCGAGUGCCAUUACCAACUGGACGAUCAACCCGGUUCUGGGGACUCAAUGGUUCGAAUCCAACUGUGGCAGAUUGUGGAAUUGGAAUUCAGUCAGAAAUCUGGAGUUCAGCCUCUAAUGACAAAACUAUUUUUGGGGGGGAACAAAAACCAUCUGAUUCACUCCUGCCCUUUUUAGGGAAUGAAGCUGCUGUUGUGGGAGAGGAUUUACUCAGUCAUCCCAGCUGCAUCCUUUACCCGGUCUGGCCUAUAUGUGACUCCAGACCCGAAGCAGUGUGGUUGACUCUUGACUGCUUCCCCUGGCAAAUGAUUGGGGAGACAUUUACUUGGAUACAGUGUAUAGGUUGAAAUUGCUGAGUCAGGCAAUAUUUGCUACAGGUGAUGGCUGUACCAAGGAUCCAAUUACAAAGGGACAACUCAGUGCUGACCAAUAGUAAAGGAAGUGGGGUGACAAUCGACAAUAGGUGCGGGAGUAGGCCAUUCUGCCCUUCGAGCCUGCACCGCCAUUCAAUAUGAUCAUGGCUGAUCAUUC